GCCACGCUUCGCACAUGCUCAGUAACUCGGCCUCCCCCCCACCCUCCUCAGCCACCACUCCCUCCGCCCCCAGGGCUUUGGGUGUGGGGCGACUGGGUGGUGCGGUUUGUGAAAGAAAUCCACUUCUCCGGGAUUUCCUAGCAGCUUGAGGAAGAGUGAGGACAGUGUUGGGCAAGGCUGCCUGCUACCGGCGUUUCAGGUUUCUACAAGAGGGGAAAAAAGAACUACCCAGAAUCCCAUCCAUGAGAUGGAAGGGUCGGAGAUGAGUGUCAUGAAACAAGGUUGGGUUCAGCAUGACCUAUUGAAAGGCUACCCCUAAGGCGGUCAGCACAGAGAAGAAAGGGCCCUUUCAGAGGUCUGAUGCACAGAAAAAAAAUCCAAUGUGGAGGCAAUGGAAAUGGAGGAUGACCCCAGAUUUGGGGAGAAUAAUGGAAUCACUGAGAUGAGGAACCCGUGAAAAGAAGGUGAUUACAGGACGGGAGGCUCAUAAAAGAUCGAAUCCAGGAAGCCUCCAGAGUAGCGGUCAACCAGAUGCUUCUCCAUCCAUACAUGCCUGUCCCUGCGGAGCCCCAAGAUACCCCCAGCGGCCCCUGUAGACGACAUCCCCAAUCAGCAGGAAGUAACCAGAGAGACUCAUCAUCACCCCUUUUCCUAUCAUCAAGAGAUCGGGAUGGUAGCUUCGGGAUCUGCAGGAGAGAAGGCCCACACUCCCGGGAAUGGAGAGUCUCUACCGGCAAUUCCUGGAUUGAAAAGUCCUUGCCAAGGUCCCUGCAUGUGCCUAAAGGUCAACCAGUGAGGAUCAGACAUGCCUCAACCUUUAACCCCCAUGCCCUGUAUCUAUAAAAGGAGCCCUCCUAACCUCUGAUGCACGACUUCCCAGGGCCUGCUGUUGGGACCAGGGAACCUCGCCCGGGAGCAGAAUCCCAAUAAAAGCCUGUAAAUUGAGAAAAAAAAAAAAAAGAAAGAAAGAAAAGAAGAUUGCAUGUAGUAUUUUAUGUAGAGCCAGGAAUGGACGUGGCUUCUGUCACUCUACCCUUAUUCCUUGGCAAGAACAAGUCAUAGGGCCGAAGCUAACUAUACAAGGAUCAAGUAGGGAGAUGGGAACAUAUGACAUUAACUCUGGUGAUGAAAUUACCUUCAAAUUUUAGUGAACUCCUUCAUAAGGCAAGAGAGACAUCACCCUCUGGCCCCAGCCUACUUAGCUAUCUGUCUUUAUAGCUGUAGUACCUCAAGGCCUGUCUGGGCUGUUUUGGUUGAGUUUCCAUACUCCCUUUUUUCCACCUGGCUGAAGCCUCUAUUUACUUCAAAACUCAAGGAGUGGACAUGUGGCUUAGCAGUUAACCUGCCACUUGAGAUGCCCAUGUCCCAGACUGGAGUACUUAGAUUUGAGUCCUGUCUCUACUUCUGAUUCCAGUUUCCUGCUAAUGCAGAGCCUGGGAAGCAGCAGUUGUGGCUCAAGUGGUUGCAUUCUUGCCACCUAUGUGGGAGAUCUGGAUUGGGUUCUUGGCUCUAAUUUCAACCUAACCUCAAUCUGCCCUAACCCCAGCUAUUGUGGGCAUUUGAGAAGUAAACCAAUGGAUGGGAGUGUGCUUAUUCUCUUGCUUACUCUCUCAUUUGCUGUUGCUGUUGCAAAAUAAUUUUAAAACAAAACCUCAAUCAACUCCUCCAGGAAACAUCCUUCCUAAGGCUGAUUAACUACUGGUUCUGUUCUACUAUAUUCCCAAAAAACAUCUCUGUCAUAAUAUUUAUCAUGUUGUAUUACUUUUUUCAUCUUUCAGAAUGUUCUUUUAAAGCCAUAGGCUAUAUUACAUUUCUACCUUUCUCAGUAUCUAUUACCAUAAUCACUAUCUAAAUAAUCAUUGCAAUCAAUGCCGCCUUUUAGAGAGCAUUUGGGAAGUUUUCAUAUAAGUGUUGGGUUGUCUCAAUAAUUGGGAAAUACUACAUUCAGGGUAGGGGCUGUAGAUGAUUAACAUCUUGCAUUAAAUAGGACAGUCCCUCAUAUGAACUGUCUCCUGUUCUGCAAGACUUAAAUAUAUUCCACUGAAUCUUCCAAUAGAUGAAAAACCUGUUUGUAUUUGUCUAAAACUAGAACCUAGUUCAGUUUUACAUAUAAAUGUUGUUUCAGUUGUCUAUUGGUAUGCAAUAAAACAGCCCAAAACUUGAAGGCUUAAAACAACUCAAGUUUACUAUCCCAAGAUCCUGUGGGAUGACUGACUCAGUGGGGCUGUUCUUUCCACGUGAGGUUGACUGGCACUGCAUUAGCUAGGGCUUCCAGUGGCUCACACAGGUGGGUGAUCCUGGGGUCUGGAGACACCAGCAGAAGCACUUUGGACUUCUUCAUGAGGGCUUUUCACAUUGCUUGAACUUCUCAUAUUGUAGUAGCUGGGUUCCAGGAGAGUGGCUAAUGGUGCGACAAUCCUCAUUAGGAGUGGGCUCAGAAGUUCCAGAGCAGCAUUCAGCAGCUUUCUGUUGAUCAAGGCUAAAUCAAGGCAGGUUCUCAACUUUCAGGUAGGAACAUGUAAACUCUGCUUCUUGAUUUUAGAGGGAGCCUCUUAUUCACAUAAAAGAAGGUUUGGUUUUUUUUUUUAACUUCUUUUUUUUUAACUUUUAUUUAAUGAAUACAAAUUUCCAAAGUACAGCUUAUGGAGUACAAUGGCCUCCCCCGAAUAACUUCCCUCCCACCUGCAACCCUCCCCUCUCCCGCUCCCUCUUCCCCUCCAUUCACAUCAAGAUUCAUUUUCAAUUCUCUUUAUAUACAGAAGAUCGGUUAGCAUAUAUUAAGCAAAGAUUUCAACAGUCUGCACCCACACAGAAACACAAAGUGAAAAAUACUGUUUGAGUACUAGUCAUAGCACUAAAUCACACUGUACAGCACAUCAAGGACAGAGAUCCCACAUGAGGAGUAAGUGCACAGUGACUCCUGUUGUUGACAACAAUUUGACACUUUUGUUUAUGGUGUCAGUAAUCUCCCUAGGCUCUAGUCAUGAGUUGCCAAGGCUAUGGAAGCCUCUUUAACUAUACAUAGAUUAUAUUUUAUUAAUUUAAUAUCAGGAUAGUAACAGAAUUGUUGCAAAAAGUUAUAAGGAGGAGGCACAGUGCUAAGAUUGUAUAAAAAACACACAAAUACCAAUCAAUCUAUGCAAAUUGAACUAAGAAUACACUGGCUUUCCUGUUGAUUCUAUGUUUAUAUCCUCCUUGACCUUAAUUUUCUACUUUGAUUUAUAUUUUACUAUUUCCAAAUAUGUGCUCAAAACCUAAAUCAAUGCAAAUCUCCAAGCAAUAACAAGCAGAGUAAAUAGGAAAUAACUAGCUCUCUGUUUUUCCCAAUUACUAAAAUGUGUAAUUCCUAUAGAAUAGAUAGUAUUUAUCUUUUUUUUUUUUUUUUUUGACAGGCAGAGUGGACAGUGAGAGAGAGACAGGGAUAAAGGUCUUCCUUCUGUUGGUUCACCCUCCAAUGGCCGCUGCUGCUGGUGCGCUGUGGCUGGCACACCAAGCUGCUCCAAAGCCUGGAGCCAGGUGCUUCUCCUGGUCUCCCAUGGGGUGCAGGGCCCAAGCACUUGGGCCAUCCUCCACUGCCUUCCCUGGCCACAGCAGAGAGCUGGCCUGGAAGAGGGGCAACCGGGAUAGAACCAGCGCCCCGACUGGGACUAGAACCUGGUGUGCUGGCGCCGCAGGCGGAGGAUUAGCCUAUUGAGCCGCGGUGCCAGCCAAUAGUAUUUAUCUUUAAAAUUUAUUUUUCUGCCAGUAAAAUAGUUUUGUAUUUUCUAGUUUGAAUUGGAUUAAUAAUCUUUAGAUAUGUUUAUUUAUAUACCUUAAUAUGGAUAGUUCUCAAUUAUCAUCUACAUAAUCUUUUUUUGGAAUGAAACUGAAAUUAUACAUAACUUUUUUAGAUUUCUGACUUGCAAAGUGCUUCAGCUCACAAUAAGAUAUUCUCAAGAGGGAAAAGUACCAUUAGACCUUUUAGUGAAGCCAAUCUGUACACAAAUGUAUUUCCCCAUGACUUUCCUUAAAAUAUUAAAUACUGUACAUAGAAUAUAUUUAGCAUCUGAAGCUGCAUUCUGUAGACCUGUAACUACUGAUAGUCUAUUCCUGUGACCUACUACUGAUCAUGCAAGUGUAGUAUGUGAGUCUAUAUUCAAAGGUUUGUUUUUCAGCAUUCCUUCAUACCAAAAUACAUAAGUUGUUACCUGAUUAUUGAAUCAUCAAGAUUUUUGCAUGAAAUGCUUUUGAAAGCAAGUUGACAAAAAAAACAGAUAAAUUUACUUAUUGUCCUUUGCUGAGGGCUCUUAAAAAUAUUAUUCUCCUGUUCUAGUAGAUAGAGGCUACCCUCCUGGCGGGUAGACAAAUAUUGAGCAUUGCUUCUGGUGAAUAGACACGACAUUCCUGUUCCAGUAGAUAGAUGCUAUUCUCCUGGUCUGACUGGCAGAAAUCUGCCCCCUGGUCUGAUAGAGAGGCAAGAUCUCAAACUAAAAGUCUUAUAAAUCAUUCAGCAUCUACUCAGGAAACAAAUAAUCUCCGUUACCACUGAUGUAAGGCAUGAAUGGCCCCUGAGAAGUAUGUUAUGGAAAGGAUGUACGAGACGUAAUUCCUUAACUACUGUUGCUACAAUAAGCUCCAGUAAACAUUCUCUAUUUCCCUUCUUAAUCUAUUUUGAGGAGGGCAAGAGAAAUCUAGCUUCACAUCAAGCUUCAUCCACAUGAUUUGUAAAACUUAUCACUGGUGUGAAGGUCUCCUGAAUAUUUGACCACCAAGAAAAUCCCCCUAAGCCAACCACUCUGUUGACUCCAGUUUUAGUGUGGGAAACUGGGUCAACCUCAAUUCUAGUGUGGCAAGAGAAAAGUCACUUUUACCUUAAAAGUGAAAAUACUCACUGAUUUAACCAUUAAUAUUCAAAACACUGGCAACACUAAAUACCAAAGGUAAUUACAGAUUUUUUUAACAUAAUCUUCUUUGUCACCUUUUUUUCUUACUGAAAUCAGUCUUUCCUUAACAAGUUAAAAAAUCUGCUUAACUUUUUACCAAGGAAAAUAUAACAAGAAAACUAGGUCAUAGUAAGUUCUAGAAGUCAACCCUCUUAUAUUGUUUGUAAUAUAGGUGAGGUGCAUGGUGUAAGUGAUUAAUAUCUUAUUAGCUGACAUUCUUUAUCCUUACUUCAAAGCAAUAUAAACUUUCUAGAAAUGAACAUUGGUGUCUCUAAGCCUUCUAAAAAUUGUGUCUCCCGAAGAUGUUCACAGAAUAGAAUGGAAGAUUAAAUUAUAUUGAUAAACAGAAGCAUUGUUUCAAAGAAUGUGCAUGCACAUGUGUGCAUGUAGAUGCAUGUACAUACUUGUGGGUGUUUUGGCAUGUGUGAGUGAAUAUAAAAUAUCUGCCUCCAACAAUCUAUUUUCUAGCUGCCAUCACAGAACUGAAAGACUACCUCUAAAUGUCUUUCUUUACCCUGACAUAAAAUAGUACCAAAAAAUCCUGUCCAAGAAAAGUACAUCCCUCAUUUCAGUGUUUAAAAAUAACCUACUGGCCAGUAAUACUGUGAUUCUUUUUUUUUUUUUUUUUUUGAGAAAAGCCAGCAUAAAGCACUUUAUAGCAGUAAUAAAACUCAAAACUCAUAUGUAAUGCUGGGGGCAGCAAGUAUCUUUUGCCAAAUCACUACACAGGACAGAGAAUCAGAUCAGCACAGAGAGCCAAGCAUCAAACACUGGGAGAUGCAGAAGCUGCAGUGAUAUGACUAGCAUAAUCACUUUCUCAAGAAAACACUCAAAGAUGUGUCAUGAUGCCUGGGCUUUUCUUGGGUGAAGAUCUACAAAUGGCUCCUUCAAUUUAAACUUUUAAUUCAAAUUUCUUAAAAUUUAAAAAGUGUUGGAAUUUGGAUAGUUAAGAGACUAUAAAAGUUCUGAAAAUCUACUAGAGAAAUCACAGGAUGGGGAAAAAAAAUAAGCUAGGUCACAAAGAAGGCUUCAGUGGUCCCUGCUGCCCAGGGAAGGUACCUGUAGUGUCUAGCAUUACAGUGAAGUGAUUUGGUACAAGAGACAGAGGUUUUCUUGGAGGCUGGGCUGGGGCUGUGGAGGCAAAGGCCAUCCCUAGUUCAUCCUGGGCAGGGCUGUUAUCCAUCCCUAGGCCUCUCUCUGAUUGGAGAAUAAUUCAGCCCUCAUCAGCAUCUCACAUCUGCUGUAGCUUUUCAGUGCAGCAAGACUGCUUAAUACAUAAUAGAUGCAAAUUUCAUCCAAAAAAUAGAUUCUUACAAACCCCAUCCACCCAACACUAACUCCUAUUCUAAAGGUAUCCAAUCACUUCUGCUGCUGAUACCUGAACACAUCUUAACUGGAAGCCUAGAUCCAAGACUGGAACAGAAUCUUCACUCCAAAAUAAGAAAAACAUAAAAUGAGUCACUUGUUUACGGAGUGUCAUUUAGGCGAACACACAUGCAAGCAGGGAAAGAGGAAAUGGGGCUGUGAGAGGCAAAGCUGAAUGACAGAACACAGUCUGGCAGAUGUUUGUACGGAGUUUGCUAUGGAAUCACAGCAAAGCUCUGGAUGGAUUUGUGUGCACGUGUCUGGAGUACCAGACCCCCUCCAUGGCAGAUCCAAGACCAGGGAGCUAAGGGAGGAGGCCAUUCCUGUCACUCCAGUUUUAGAAGCUCAACAUCAAAACCCAUAGUGCCAGGUGGUGGGUUGAUGCCCAGUAGUACCAUAGGCAUAGCCUGGGGUGAUGGUCAGUUUGGCUGGCUGAGCCACACUCACCUGGGUCAACUCUUCUUCCCAGCUUUGGAUCAUCACCUGCUUGGCCAGCAUAUACUUAAAGGACUUGUUUCCGUCUUGAGAGGAAUUAAAUUUCUUUGUAUUUUUGAGUAUGCUGGUUUAGUGCACCACGCAGGUCUGGCUGUGCUUGUCUCCUAGGGGAGACACUACCUUGGUGGCGGUGGGUGGCAAGAUGAGCAGUGUGGACAAGAGCAGACUUAUAGCAGCUCUGUUCUUCCAGUAAUGUUACAAUUCUAACAUUCAAAAUACUUGUGGAGUUUUAGCUUAUUGAAGUAAUUGUUUUUCUGUAAAUUGCACAGAUCUGAUCAAUAUUGAAUAAACUAUUCAAAGUAUCAAAAUCUCACUGUAAUGAUUCUGUCUUUUGAGUGACUGAUGAUAGAGCUGACUUGCCAUAGACUCCUACAGAAAUCGUGUGCUAAGUCAUGUGAAUUUAUCACCACAUGUAGUUAUAAUGUCCUAUUGUUAAAGUCAGAGAACUUUUGGGGCUAUUGUACAGUUUAAUUUAUUUGACCCCCAUUGAUAUAAGGAGUCUCCGAAAGUUCAUGGAAGGAGUUGGCGUUGUGGUACAGUGGGUUAAGUCACCUGUUGCAAUCCCGGCAUCCCAUAUUGCAGCACUGAUUUGAUCCAGAUUUGCAUCCCUGUUUAUGUGCUGGAAUAGUAGCUGAAACUUUCCUGGGUACUUAGGUCCCUAGCACCAAUGUGGGAGAACUAGAUGGAGUUCCAGGCUCCUGGCAUUGCCCCAGGCAUUCUGGCCACUUGGAGGAGUGAACCAGUAGAUGGAAGAUCUCUUUAUUUGUCUCCCCUUCUCUUUCUCUUUCACUCUGCCAUUCAAUUUUUUUAAAGUUCAUAAAAGUGCUUUUUUACUAAAAAUCUUUAUAUAAAUAUCAAAAUUUUUUGCACCAAAAUAAAAUUAUCUUAAAAUUCCAUUUUCCAUGAACUUAUUUUUUAUUUCUUUAUUCAAGAGGCGGAGAGAGAAGGUAAGGGAGAUAGACAGAGCUCCCCUCUGCUGACUCAUUCUCUGAUUGCCCAAUGUAUACACCAAAUCCAGGAGUUGGGAACUCAACUUGGAUCUCCUAUGUGGGUGUCAGGGACCUAACUGCCUGAGUCAUCACCUGUUGUCUUUCAGGUUAUGUCCAUUUUGUUGCAAAUGGCAGAAUUUCUUUUUUUUUUUUUACUAUUGUGUAGUAUUCCAUGGUAUAUACAUCCCAUAAUUUCUUUAUCCAGUCUUAGUUGAUGGACAUUUGUCUUAAUUCCAGAUUUUAGCUAUUGUGGUACUGAUUUCAUUUUCCUUGGGUAGAUUCCCAGGAGUGGGAUGGCUGGGUCAUAUGGUCGGUCUAUAUUCAGAUUUCUGAGGUAUCUCCAUAUUGUCUUCCACAGUGGCUGUACAAGUUUAAAUCCCCACCAACAGUGGAUUGGGGUAUCUUUUCCCCCACACCCUCACCAGCUUCUAUUGUUUUUUGAUUUUUGUGUGAAAGCUAUCCUAACGGGGGUGAGGUGAAAUCUCAUUGUGGAUUUGAUUUGUGUUUACCUGAUGUCUAGUGAUCCUGAACACUUUUUCAUGUGUCUGUUGGAUAUUUGGAUUUCCUCUUUUGAAAAAUUCCUGUAGAAGUCCUUUUUCCAUUUAUUAACUGGGUUGUUUGUUUUGUUGUUGUUGCAUUUCAUGAGCUCUUUAUAUAUUUUGGAUGCUAAUCUUUUAUCAAAGUUGCGUAGUUUGCAAGUAAUUUCUCCCAUUCUAUCAGUUGCCUCUUCACUUUGCUGAGUGUUCCUUUUGCAGUGCAGAAGCUCCUCAGCUUGAUGUCAUCCCAUUUGUCAAUUUGGGCUUUGAUUGCCUGUGCUUCUAGGGUCUUUCCAAGAAGUCUUUGCCUAUGCCAAUGUAUUGCAGGGUUUCCCCAAUGUUUUCUAAUAAUUUGAUGUUAUUGCAUUGUUGAUUUUGAUCUUUAAUCCAUUUUCAGUAGAUUUUUGUGUAGUAAGGUGUAGGAUAGGGGUCUCGCUUCAUACUUCUGCAUGUGGAGAUCCAGUUUUCCCAGCACCAUUUGUUGAAGAGACUGUUUUUGCUCCAGAGAUUGAUUUUAGCUCCUUUCUCAAAGGUAAAUUGUUUGUAGAUGCAUGGGUUGGCACCUAUAAUUUCUACAAGGUUAUUCUCUUAAGUCUAUUUACCAGACUGAUUAAAUAAUAAUCAAAUGAUCAAAACUAGCAUUGAGAACCCAGAAAACCCUGUGUCUUUCAGAAGUUGGCUUAUGAAAUUAUUUAGGCUAUUUAAUAGUUUGCAAACAAAAAGCACUAAUUUGGAGACGGAGAAGCCUGACUUCAAAACCUAUUUUUACCGUUUACUAGUUCUGUAAUCUGUAUCCAUACUUAACUUCUCUGUGCCCCAAUUAAGUCAGUCAUGAAAUGCAAAGAAUGACCUUUGAUUUCCAGGGUUGUUAUAAGAAUAACAGAAUAAUCCUGUAUAUAAUAGAUUCAUAACAUUUUAUCAUUCUUUAAAAUAAAGCCAUGGAACAGUAUCUAUAUGGAUAAAGGAAAACUGAUUAAUGUGGAAAACAAAAUUGCUUCAUGCUUUAACAGUUUCUUCCCAUAAUAUAUUAACUUUCUUUUAAAAAAAUAGUGGCUGCUAAGUUUCAUGUCAAUUGAGAUAAACAACCUCAAGUUAAUUUACAAUAAGUUGUCACUUUAUAAGCCACUUCUCUUUUUUGUUUCCUCUUUAAUUAAUAGUGCUCCAAAUGUUGUCUCAAUCUUCCUUUCUUCCUUCUCACUUUGCAACUGUGUGAUUCAAAAUAAAUAAAUAGACUUUUAAAAAAGACAUAUAUGUCCUAAAUAGCACUCUGGCCUCAGAAUCAGCCCUAAAGGCAUUCGGAGCUGGCUGAAAAGCUCAUGAGAGUAUUUCAGGCAUGGAAAGCCAAGACACUCUGGCAAAAGAUCUCUGUGAGUGAGAUCUCAGUGGAAAGAACAGGUCUUCAAAGAAGGAGGUACCUUUCUCUGAAGGGAGGAGAGAACCUCCACUUUGACUAUGACCUUGUCUAAACAAGAUAAGAGUCGGAGAACUCAGAGGGCUUCCAUAGCCUUGGAAACUCAUGACUGGAGCAUAGGGAGAUUACUGAUGCCAUAGACAGGAGUGUCAAUUGGUAAAGUCAACAACAGGAGUCACUGUGCACUUACUCCUCAUGUAGGAUCUCUAUCCUUAAUGUGCUGUACAUUGAGAUUUAAUGCUAUAACGAGUACUCAAACAAUAUAUUUCACUUUGUGUUUCUAUGGGGGUGCAAACUGUUGAAAUCCUUACUUAAUGCAUACUAAACUGAUCCUCUGUAAAAAAAAAAAAAAAAAAAAAAAAAAAGAAAAGAAAUUAUCAAUUCCCAACUUGACUCUCACUGGGAUUAAACAUGACAAUAGGUCUGAUCUGAUUUCAUCAUCAUUUAAAAAAAAUCAUCUAUUAUUUUUCACUUUAUGUUUCUGUGUGGGAGCAAACUGUUGAAAUCCAUACUUAAUGUAUACUAAGCUGAUCUUCUGUAUAUUAAGAUAAUCGAAAAUGAAUCUUGAUGUGAAUGGAAGGGGAGAGGGAGUGGGAAAG
Non-coding RNA from Oryctolagus cuniculus (rabbit), 10317 nucleotides. Lineage: Eukaryota; Metazoa; Chordata; Mammalia; Lagomorpha; Leporidae. The record is from RefSeq and is a predicted model, not a curated record.